This 121-nucleotide non-coding RNA is filed under the name Acinetobacter proteolyticus. RNAcentral describes it as "TPP". It matches the Rfam family "TPP riboswitch aptamer (THI element)". Rfam says of the family: Vitamin B(1) in its active form thiamin pyrophosphate (TPP) is an essential coenzyme that is synthesised by coupling of pyrimidine and thiazole moieties in bacteria. The previously detected thiamin-regulatory element, thi box was extended, resulting in a new, highly conserved RNA secondary structure, the THI element, which is widely distributed in eubacteria and also occurs in some archaea. The record is from RNAcentral. Lineage: Bacteria; Pseudomonadati; Pseudomonadota; Gammaproteobacteria; Moraxellales; Moraxellaceae. RNAcentral also lists the same sequence under 1 other name.
CGUCGCUUGACGGAGCGCAGUUAACAAACUGCUGAGAUUGUCUUAAUCAUCCAAUUUAAAGACAAGUACCGUUGAACCUGAUCAGGUUAAAACCUGCGUAGGAAUCAAGCCCAGCAAAAAC